This 434-nucleotide ribosomal RNA is filed under the name Theileria cervi. RNAcentral describes it as "SSU rRNA". It matches the Rfam family "Eukaryotic small subunit ribosomal RNA", at positions 1210 to 1660 of the family's 1831-position model. Lineage: Eukaryota; Apicomplexa; Aconoidasida; Piroplasmida; Theileriidae. The record is from RNAcentral.
GCNNGGUCCAGACAGAGGAAGGAUUGACAGAUUGAUAGCUCUUUCUUGAUUCUUUGGGUGGUGGUGCAUGGCCGUUCUUAGUUGGUGGAGUGAUUUGUCUGGUUAAUUCCCGUUAACGAAACGAACUUAACCUGCUAAAUAGGGUACGGGAAUAGGCUUCGGCUGUCCCGUGAUCGCUUCUUAGAGGGACUUUGCGGUUAUAAAUCGCAAGGAAGUUUAAGGCAAUAACAGGUCUGUGAUGCCCUUAGAUGUCCUGGGCUGCACGCGCGCUACACUGAUGCGUUCAUCGAGUUUAUCCUUGGCCGAGAGGCCUGGGUAAUCUUUAGUACGCAUCGUGAUGGGGAUCGAUUAUUGCAAUUAUUAAUCGUGAACGAGGAAUGCCUAGUAUGCGCAAGUCACCAGCUUGUGCAGAUUACGUCCCUGCCCUUGGGUNU